This is a long non-coding RNA of Phoenix dactylifera (date palm), 1029 nucleotides long. RefSeq lists it as uncharacterized. NCBI's taxonomy places the organism in Eukaryota, Viridiplantae, Streptophyta, Magnoliopsida, Arecales, Arecaceae. The record is from RefSeq and is a predicted model, not a curated record.
UAUUCUUUCUUCUUUUUCUUUCUCCUCCUCCUCUUCUCCCGACUUCUUCUCCUCCCCCCCUUUCUUUCUUCUUCUUUCUUCUCCCGUGAAGGGAGGUCGGCGAGCUCGGAAGAAGCCAAGUUGAGGCCGGCGACGCUCGCGACGGCCGGCGCGCUCCUUCUUCCUGCGGAGGAGGCAUGCAGACGGGAGGAGAAGAAGACCCCGCGACGCCCCGGUGAAGGUCCGGCAGCUUCCUCCCUCUCCGGCGGCUCCUUCCUCUCCGACGGCAAUGGUGGAAGAGGAAGACCACCCGUGCCAAAGCUAUCCCGAUUUUAAUGGCUCUCUCCCUCUCUCUCAGCCGGCAACCCAAGGAAGAAGACCCCCCGACUAGACGCGGCGGCUGUGGUUCGGAUGGCUUCAAGGAGAAGGAGAGGAAGCCCUAAAAACAGGGCUUCCUUCUGCUUCGGGAUGGAAGGAAUUCCAUCCCGUUGCCUAAGGUUUGGGACUGGGCCGGUCAAAUGGACCGGGCCCAGUUCCAGGGUCUCACAUCUUUUAUCAUAUAUUGUCACAGGAAGGAACACUGCUGACCUUUGUACUCGAUUCGGGAUGUAAAAUAGGUUGUGUGCUGGGACCAGAUGGAGUGUGCUUUGAGGUGGGGGAGGGGGUGGCGCUGGGGAGGGCAGAGUCGGAAGGCGAAGGAAGAUGCGAGGGCAGGAGCGUGAGCAACAAGAAUGGAGACCAUUUUUUCCCCCUCUGAAGUGAAAUAGUUAUGCCAAGAUUUUGGAUGGCAAAAACGAAACUUACUUGGACUCGUGAUUUAUGUUUAUAUUAAUUAUUGUGCAAGCUCUUUAAGUUGCAGAAGUUUUAGAAAAUUUGCUUAAUCUCUAGAAAAGACAAUUGCAUUUCAAUAAACUCUCUUUCAAUGCAUAGUAUUGUUUGCUGCCUCAGACAAUCAUUAGCCAUGUUCUAGAGAGUGAUACUUAUCUUGUAAUAUCAUGCAUGAAGAGAAAGAGGUUGCAUAUAUUGGACUGAAUUAUUUUUUUGACGAAA